GCCACCAACAGAGACAUGUUUUUAGCAUU
Molecule: non-coding RNA, 29 nt
Filed under: Rattus norvegicus (Norway rat)
Lineage: Eukaryota; Metazoa; Chordata; Mammalia; Rodentia; Muridae
Source: RNAcentral